GAGACACCUGCAUGGAGCAGGACUUGCUUCAGUGGAACUUUGGUGCUCACUGAGUCUACCCCUUGAGUGUGUUGCU
Molecule: microRNA precursor, 76 nt
Filed under: Myotis brandtii (Brandt's bat)
Lineage: Eukaryota; Metazoa; Chordata; Mammalia; Chiroptera; Vespertilionidae
Description: mir-9229 microRNA precursor family
Rfam family: mir-9229 microRNA precursor family
Source: Rfam by way of RNAcentral